UUUUUUUUUCUUUUUAGGGCCACAUCCAUGGCAUAUGGAAGUUGCCAGGCUAGGGGUCGAAUUGGAGCUGUAGCUGCCAGCCUACACCACAGCCAUAGCAACGCUGGAUCCUUAACCCACUGAGCAAAGCCAAGGAUCGAACCCAUAACCUCAUAGUUCCUAGUCAGAUUCGUUUCCACUGCACCACAACAGGAACUCCUAUUCAUCUAUUUUUAAUUUGGCUGAUUAUGCUUAGGUUUUAUAUCAAGUUAGUGUCUUGAUUAUUAUAAUUUUGCUAUAAGUUUUGGAAUCAGAAAGAAUUCCUCCAAAUUUGUUCUUCCUCUUAAAGAUUAUUUUGGCUAAUCUGGAUCUCUUAAAGUUCCAUAAGAACUUUAAGGAUGGCAAGUCAAUUUCUUAAAAGAAUCAGCACAGAUUUUAAUAAAAAUUGUGUUGGCUAUGUAGAUCAAUUUAAGAAGUGUUACCAUUUUAAUAAUAUUAAGUCUUCUAAUCCAUGAACACAAAUAUCUUUCAAUUUAUUUAAAUUUUCUUUAUAAUUUUUCACUGUUUUUCAGUUUUUAAAGUUUUGCACUUCCUUUGUUAAUAUAUUUCUAAGCAUUUUAUUAUUUUUUUGUGAAUAGAACUGUUUUUUAAAUUUUAUUUCCAAGUAGCUCAUGGCUAGUGUAUAAAAAUUGACUUUUCUAUGUUUAUCUUAUAUCCUACAACUUUGCUAAAUUAUUUAUUAACUCUAAUAGUAUUUUUGUGUAUUUGGAUUUUCUGUAUACAACAUUAUCUCAUCUGUGAAAAGAGAGUUUUACUUCUCUUCCAAUAUAGAUGUCUUUAAUCUCUUUAUUGCCUAAUUUGUUAUGUGCAGCCACUGAAAAAUUUACCUGCAUAACUAUCUAGUAAGCUGAUGAUUGGACAGUGCUUUCCUUAAAUGCCUUGAACUACAAAUCUCCUAGCCUUUGCUGAGAAGAUCUUUGUGUCUGUUGAGCAUGUCUUUAACACUCAGCCAGGCACUUUAAAUCUCUGUCUUAGCUUUUACUUGGACUUAUACAGAGCCUCAAAGUUAGCCAGAGGCAAAAGUUGAGGGCUUUAUCAGGUCCUUCCUGAGAAUGUAACGAGGCCUUCCCAUGUGUGUUUGUAGCUACCCGAGAAUGUAUUGUGGCUUAUCAAAUCCCCUGUUGAAAUUUCAUCCCCCAUCUUUUCUCUUAAGCUUUUGGUAAAUCUAUUGUAUACUCCAACUGUUAUCUAUCUCCCUGCCCCCCAGGAAGCUGAAAUGUUAAAACACUAGCCUGUAAUUAUUUUCAACAACAGCUCUCUGGAAGAAGGCUUUUAGAACUAGGUGAGCUCUGUAUCAUUCUAAAACUAGGUCUUACAGGGGAUCACAAAACUGAUAAUAUAAUAACAACUCUUUGGGAAUGAAGCUUUUCAAAUAGCUUCAAUUCCAUUCUACUUUCUCCAGGGGCUACCAAGCUGCCCCCAGAAUGUGGGCUGUUGUUUUUCAAGGCUACUCAAGCUGAAUGAUUGAGAAUGGGUCUAGUAUAAGUUAAAACAUGCCAAACCUUGCUGUUCAGUCAUUUUUCUUGAAUAAAUGCUCUGGCUUGCUUAAGGCUUUGGCAGUUUCAAGAGUUCUGAAAAAAAAAUGGUUGUGGUAUUUUGGCCAGUGUUUUCAUGAAAGAGAGGAUUUUGUGAAUUACUUACACUACAAUGCUAGCUGACACCACCCAUUGAAUCAGUUUUAAGUAUGAUUACAUUUAUUGGAUACAUUUCAUCUAUUGUAAUAUUAAAAUAUGAUAAAGUCUAUUUUUCUACUAGUUAAGGUAUACCAUUAGAAAUAAAAAGCUAAAAUAAUAGCAAUCUUUAACUGAAUAUAUAGUUCUAAAUUCAGUAUCUUUUAAUCCUCACAUGGUAGAUAUUAUCUUCAGGUUACAGAUGAAAAAGCAAAAGUCAAAAUACAAUUUCUUGACCAUUUCACAAAGAUAAUGUUGAAGCAAGAUUUUGAGCCUAAUUCUGUAUGCCUUCUAAGCUAAUUGUUUUCACCAUCAAAAUUUAAUUAUAAAACUAUCUUAGUGCUUAAAAAUCUUAUAUCUUGUGAACUAUUGUGACAAUAUAAAAUUUAGCUUUCAAUGAAACAGGUGCUCAAUACUCUGUGAACAGUUUUCCACAAUUUAAAUUGUGAAAUGGGGAAAUAAAAGAAUUGGACUACAUUUAUGUUAUUUUUAAUAAAUUCUAUUAUUUUAUUAGCUAAGAAUAGCCUUAUUAUCAUGUUCACUGAUGUAUCUCUAAUGCCUGGAAUAGUGUGCCUGGCUCAUAAUGAAUUAAUAUUCAUUAAUAAAUUAUGUAUUAAUUACCUCAUAUAGAUUAUUUAAUUAUUAAUAAAUAAUUAUAUACUGAAUUAGUUUAUUUUCAUUAUUUAUAGUGAUCGAAUAUAAGAAUAUAGCAGAUCAGAGAAAAAUUUUUCAUAAUGAACUGAGAUCUAUGGUUCAACAAAUAUUCAUGUUUAUGGUACUAAUUAAUGUGGAUUCUUAAAAUAGCACAGAAUAAAAAGUACGGAUUUAUCAAAAAUGUGAGAAUAUGUGUAAAAAUAACAUCAGAGAGAAAGUUGGUGUUAAAAUACACUUACUGAGGUUACAGGAUAUAUAAAAUUUUUCAGAAGGUAAAACAGAAUAUAGGUUCAAGAUCAUUGACAGUAAUGGUGAAGUUAAAUCAAUAAUAGCUGCUCUAUUUUUUUCUAAUGUUCUUUGGAAUUGCAUACAUUUCGAGAUCAUUUACACAAAAGAAAAUUAAUUUUUAAAUAGUUUUGACAUUACAUAUAUUUAAUAAAGAAAAUACUCAUUUAAAUCCAAUUUUAUAGAUCAAAGUCAGUUUAUUGAGUUUUUUUUUUUUCCUUGCAGAGCUGGUAGAUCUGUAAUGAUCAUUGAAAAUGACUUUUUUUCUGAAUAAAAGGUCAAUUUUAGAAUAAAUUCAUACAUCUCAUUAUGAGAAGGUCCUUAUAAAUAAAGGAAAAUAAUGAAUAGGUAAGGAUUAUGAGAUAUCUUGAUAUCAUUCUUGUACGCUGUACCUUAGUCUGAAAAUUAUAUAUAAAACAAAAUCAAAAGAACUAGAACAAAAGUAGUUUGGCAUAUUUUGGGAGUUCCCUGGUGGUGCAGAGGAUCCAGCACUGUCACUGUAGCAGCUUCAAUCCCUAGCCAAGGAACUUCCACAUGCCAAAAAAUAAAAAAAGACAUUUUUUAAUAUCUUUAAAUUGAUUAAAUGUUACUGCUUAUUAAGAAUUUAUCCAUUUAACAAGUUCAUAAUUUUCAUAUGAUUAAUGUUUCCAAGAAUGCUGUCCAUUCAGGUAGUAACAAGAAAUAAGGUUACAUUUUCUAAUUUAAUUUUUAAGUUUUCUUUAAAAAAUUAAACUUAAUAGUUACAUAAAUAACCAAGAUAAUUCAUAUCAAAUAGCAUUUUUCCUUCAGGAGUUUGAAGGAAAAGAGAAUGUUAAACCUAUUAGUUUUUAAUAUAAAUAAGCAAGCAGGUAGAAAAUGGUAGAAAUACUUUUGGAAUGAAGCUUUAGUAAUGGCAAGUUAAUUCCUGAAUAUUAAUUUGGCUAUUAGAUUUGGAGAUAUACUGGGAUAUAAAUAAUAUAUAUGACAUAUAUAUAAAUGAUAUAUAUAUAGAGAGAGAUAGAUAUAGAUGCAGAUAUAGAUACAUGGAUGUAAAUUUUAUCAGUCUUUCAAGGUAUCUUGCAUACCUUCUCUGUUUUCAAAAUCAAUGUCUUAACAGGCUUCUACUGAAUAUUUGUGAGCAACAUAUUGGAUAGCACAUAAGAUUACUAGAACAAUAAGCAGAUUGAGCAACUUUCCACUUGUACUAUUUUGGUUUUUUUUGCCAUUCAUUCAUGUCUUCUUUUUUUAUUUUUUAUUUUUUUGGUUGUUUUACUUUUUAAAAUUAUUUAAUGAAUCAUAUUACAUUUAUAGGUGUACAGCAAUCAUCACAACCAAACUUUAUAGCACGUCUAUCCCAAACCCUAGGUGCAUCCCCCCACCCACCAACCUGUCUCAUUUGGAAACCAUAAGAUUUUCAAAGUCUGUGAGGCAGUAUCUGUUCUGCAAAGAAAGUCAGUCUGUCCUUUUUUCAGAUUCCACAUGUAAGUGAUAACAUUUGAUGUUGUUGUCUCACUGUCUGACUGACUUCACUUAGCAUGAUAAUUUCUAUGUCCAUCCAUGUUGCUGCAAGUGCUAUUAUUUCUUUCCUUUUAAUGGCUGAUUAAUAUUCCAUUGUGUACCACAACUUCUUUAUCUAUUCCUCUGUCGAUGGACAUUUAGGUUGUUUCCAUGUCUUGGCUAUUGCAUAUAGUGCUGAAAUGAAUAUUGGAAUACAUGUGUCUAUUUGAGUCAUAGUUUUCUUUGGAUAAAUGCCCAGGUGUGGGAUUGCUGGAUCAAAUGGUAGUUCUAUUUUUGGUUUUCUGAGGAAUCUCCAUACUGUUUUCCACAGAGGUUGCAACAAUUUACAUUCCCACCAACAGUGUAAUAGGGUUCCCUUUUUUCCACACCCUCUCCAGCACUUAUUGUUUGUAGACUUUUUGAUGAGGGUAAUUCUGGCUGAUGCAAGGUGGUAAAGCAUAGUGGUUUUGAUUUGCAUGUCUCUAAUCAUGAGUGAUGUUGAACAUCUUUUCAUGUGUUUUUUGGCCAUCCGUAUGUCUUCUUUGGAGACUUGUCUGUUUAGAUCUUCUGCCCAUGUUUUGAUGGGGUUGGGUGUUUAUAAAUUUUGGAUAUAUAAAAAAAAUGAGUUCCCAUCGUGGCACAGAGGAAAUGAAUCUGACUAGGAACUACGAGGCUGCGGGUUUGAUCCCUGGCCUCGCUCAGUGGGUUAAGGACCCAGCAUUGCCCUGAGCUGUGGUGUAGGUUACAGAUGUGGCUUGGAUCUGACAUCGCCAUGGCUCUGGCAUAGGCCAGCAGCAACAGCUCCAAUUAGACCCCUAGCCUAGGAACCUCCAUAUGCCAUGGAUAUGGCCCUAAAAAA
This 4983-nucleotide long non-coding RNA is filed under the name Sus scrofa (pig). Its description in RNAcentral is "lncRNA (ENSSSCG00025035819.1, ENSSSCG00035040776.1, ENSSSCG00055018853.1, ENSSSCG00065062319.1)". Lineage: Eukaryota; Metazoa; Chordata; Mammalia; Artiodactyla; Suidae. The record is from RNAcentral.